AUUCCCUCAGUGGCUAAAUUCAAGCCAUUUAUACUUUAUACUUUAAAACACUGAAGGUAGGCCUGGCCUUCUGCGACGGCCAAGGGAGAACGUCUUCUCUGUGGUUAUUCUUUACAGUGAGACAGUGAAGACCCCACAAGCUAAAAGAGCAACUGCAUUUGAGGAGGUAUAAUGGCAGCCCAGUUCUGAAGCUUCUUCUUAGUGGCCAGUAGGGACUCAUUCUGACCUAACAGAAACCUCUUAGGUUCUGCAGUAACUAAAGCCAACAGCCUGAGGCACGCUGCUGUGUAGUCGAGAAAGGGCAGGCAGCCAGCAAGCGUGUACAAGGUAUAUACGUGCUGCACGCUGUUGUGUAGUGAAGAAAGGGAAGGCAGCCAGCAAGCGUGUACAAGGUAUAUACGUGCUGCACGCUGCUGUGUAGUCGAGAAAGGGCAGCCAGCAAGCGUGUACAAGGUAUAUACGUGCUGCACGCUGCUGUGUAGUCGAGAAAGGGAAGGGUGUGUGCAGGGUACAUACGUGCUGAACGUGUCCAUCUCUCCAGUCAGAUUGAUUCG
Molecule: non-coding RNA, 554 nt
Filed under: Pongo abelii (Sumatran orangutan)
Lineage: Eukaryota; Metazoa; Chordata; Mammalia; Primates; Hominidae
Source: RNAcentral